RNAcentral lists this ribosomal RNA (443 nucleotides) under uncultured bacterium. RNAcentral's name for it is "SSU rRNA". It matches the Rfam family "Bacterial small subunit ribosomal RNA", at positions 26 to 518 of the family's 1533-position model. The record is from RNAcentral.
AGAACGAACGCUGGCGGCACGCCUAACACAUGCAAGUCGAGCGCCCAGCAAUGGGAGCGGCGGACGGGUGAGUAACACGUGGGAAUAUGCCUUUCGGUACGGAACAACUCAGGGAAACUUGAGCUAAUGCCGUAUACGCCCUUACGGGGAAAGAUUUAUCGCCGAAAGAUUAGCCCGCGUCUGAUUAGCUAGUUGGUGAGGUAAUGGCUCACCAAGGCUUCGAUCAGUAGCUGGUUUGAGAGAACGACCAGCCACACUGGGACUGAGACACGGCCCAGACUCCUACGGGAGGCAGCAGUGGGGAAUCUUGGACAAUGGGGGAAACCCUGAUCCAGCGAUGCCGCGUGAGUGAUGAAGGCCUUCGGGUUGUAAAACUCUUUCGACGGGACGAUAAUGACGGUACCCGUAGAAGAAGCUCCGGCUAACUUCGCGCCAGCAGCCGC